UGGGGAAUAUUGGACAAUGGGGGGAACCCUGAUCCAGCCAUGCCGCGUGUGUGAAGAAGGCCUUAUGGUUGUAAAGCACUUUAAGCGAGGAGGAGGGUACUGGUAUUAAUACUACCAGGUACUGGACGUUACUCGCAGAAUAAGCACCGGCUAACUCUGUGCCAGCAGCCGCGGUAAUACAGAGGGUGCGAGCGUUAAUCGGAUUUACUGGGCGUAAAGCGUGCGUAGGCGGCUAAUUGAGUCGGAUGUGAAAUCCCCGAGCUUAACUUGGGAAUUGCAUUCGAUACUGGUUAGCUAGAGUGUGGGAGAGGAUGGUAGAAUUCCAGGUGUAGCGGUGAAAUGCGUAGAGAUCUGGAGGAAUACCGAUGGCGAAGGCAGCCAUCUGGCCUAACACUGACGCUGAGGUACGAAAGGAUGGGGAGCAAACAGG
RNAcentral lists this ribosomal RNA (430 nucleotides) under Pseudomonadota bacterium. Its description in RNAcentral is "Proteobacteria bacterium partial 16S ribosomal RNA". It matches the Rfam family "Bacterial small subunit ribosomal RNA", at positions 355 to 776 of the family's 1533-position model. The record is from RNAcentral. Lineage: Bacteria; Pseudomonadati; Pseudomonadota.